RNAcentral lists this ribosomal RNA (710 nucleotides) under uncultured Actinomyces sp. Its description in RNAcentral is "bacterial SSU rRNA". It matches the Rfam family "Bacterial small subunit ribosomal RNA", at positions 28 to 718 of the family's 1533-position model. The record is from RNAcentral. Lineage: Bacteria; Bacillati; Actinomycetota; Actinomycetes; Actinomycetales; Actinomycetaceae.
GACGAACGCUGGCGGCGUGCUUAACACAUGCAAGUCGAACGGGAUCUGCGUGGCCUUUGUGGUUGUGUGGUGAGAGUGGCGAACGGGUGAGUAACACGUGAGUAACCUGCCUUUUUCUUUGGGAUAACGCUCAGAAAUGGGUGCUAAUACUGGAUGUUCUGCGCUUUCCGCAUGGGGGGUGUGGGAAAGGGGCCUUUGUGGUUUCUGGAGGGAGAUGGGCUCGCGGCUUAUCAGCUUGUUGGUGGGGUGAUGGCUUACCAAGGCUUUGACGGGUAGCCGGCCUGAGAGGGUGGGCGGUCACAUUGGGACUGAGAUACGGCCCAGACUCCUACGGGAGGCAGCAGUGGGGAAUUUUGCACAAUGGGGGGAACCUUGAUGCAGCGACGCCGCGUGAGGGAUGGAGGCCUUCGGGUUGUGAACCUCUUUCGCUCGUGUGCAAGCCGCUAUUUGGGUAGUGGUGAGUGUAGCGGGUAAAGAAGCGCCGGCUAACUACGUGCCAGCAGCCGCGGUAAUACGUAGGGCGCGAGCGUUGUCCGGAUUUAUUGGGCGUAAAGGGCUUGUAGGCGGCUUGUCGCGCCUGUCGUGUAAUCCUCUGGCUUAACUGGGGGUGUGCGGUGGGUACAGGCAGGCUUGAGUGCGGUAGGGGAGAUUUGGAAUUUCUGGGAGUACCUGUGGAAUGCGCAAAUCUAAAGAGGAAAAAUCGGUGGUUU